RNAcentral lists this unclassified non-coding RNA (178 nucleotides) under uncultured fungus. RNAcentral describes it as "sequence contains ITS1". The record is from RNAcentral. Lineage: Eukaryota; Fungi.
AUAUUUUGAAUUAAGUAUAUUCAUAAUAUUUUUCAGACAAAGAGUUAAAAGAUAAAGGUUGAUGUUUGGUCGAUCUCCAAGAAGAUCGACUGACAUUGCACACAAGGUGGAUAUGGAUUUAAAAAGUGCCAUAAAACACUUAUUAUGAAUGAUCCUUCCGCAGGUUCACCUACGGAAA